UCCGUGUUAUCCACGGCAGUCUCUCUAGAGUGCCCAACUUAAUGAUGGCUACUAAAGAUAAGGGUUGCGCUCGUUGCGGGACUUAACCCAACAUCUCACGACACGAGCUGACGACAACCAUGCACCACCUGUCUCUAUUGUCCCCGAAAGGCCUACCUCUAUUAGAAGGUAUUCAAUAGGAUGUCAAGUUUUGGUAAGGUUCUUCGCGUUGCUUCGAAUUAAACCACAUGCUCCACCGCUUGUGCGGGCCCCCGUCAAUUCCUUUGAGUUUCAACCUUGCGAUCGUACUCCCCAGGUGGAAUACUUAUUGCGUUAGCUGCGGCACUGAAGGCUUAAGCCCCCAACACCUAGUAUUCAUCGUUUACGGCGUGGACUAC
RNAcentral lists this unclassified non-coding RNA (377 nucleotides) under uncultured Defluviitaleaceae bacterium. RNAcentral describes it as "contains 16S-23S intergenic spacer region". Lineage: Bacteria; Bacillati; Bacillota; Clostridia; Lachnospirales; Defluviitaleaceae. The record is from RNAcentral.